RNAcentral lists this ribosomal RNA (2787 nucleotides) under Escherichia coli. Its description in RNAcentral is "bacterial LSU rRNA". It matches the Rfam family "Bacterial large subunit ribosomal RNA". Lineage: Bacteria; Pseudomonadati; Pseudomonadota; Gammaproteobacteria; Enterobacterales; Enterobacteriaceae. The record is from RNAcentral.
AGCGUACACGGUGGAUGCCCUGGCAGUCAGAGGCGAUGAAGGACGUGCUAAUCUGCGAUAAGCGUCGGUAAGGUGAUAUGAACCGUUAUAACCGGCGAUUUCCGAAUGGGGAAACCCAGUGUGAUUCGUCACACUAUCAUUAACUGAAUCCAUAGGUUAAUGAGGCGAACCGGGGGAACUGAAACAUCUAAGUACCCCGAGGAAAAGAAAUCAACCGAGAUUCCCCCAGUAGCGGCGAGCGAACGGGGAGCAGCCCAGAGCCUGAAUCAGUGUGUGUGUUAGUGGAAGCGUCUGGAAAGGCGCGCGAUACAGGGUGACAGCCCCGUACACAAAAAUGCACAUGCUGUGAGCUCGAUGAGUAGGGCGGGACACGUGGUAUCCUGUCUGAAUAUGGGGGGACCAUCCUCCAAGGCUAAAUACUCCUGACUGACCGAUAGUGAACCAGUACCGUGAGGGAAAGGCGAAAAGAACCCCGGCGAGGGGAGUGAAAAAGAACCUGAAACCGUGUACGUACAAGCAGUGGGAGCACGCUUAGGCGUGUGACUGCGUACCUUUUGUAUAAUGGGUCAGCGACUUAUAUUCUGUAGCAAGGUUAACCGAAUAGGGGAGCCGAAGGGAAACCGAGUCUUAACUGGGCGUUAAGUUGCAGGGUAUAGACCCGAAACCCGGUGAUCUAGCCAUGGGCAGGUUGAAGGUUGGGUAACACUAACUGGAGGACCGAACCGACUAAUGUUGAAAAAUUAGCGGAUGACUUGUGGCUGGGGGUGAAAGGCCAAUCAAACCGGGAGAUAGCUGGUUCUCCCCGAAAGCUAUUUAGGUAGCGCCUCGUGAAUUCAUCUCCGGGGGUAGAGCACUGUUUCGGCAAGGGGGUCAUCCCGACUUACCAACCCGAUGCAAACUGCGAAUACCGGAGAAUGUUAUCACGGGAGACACACGGCGGGUGCUAACGUCCGUCGUGAAGAGGGAAACAACCCAGACCGCCAGCUAAGGUCCCAAAGUCAUGGUUAAGUGGGAAACGAUGUGGGAAGGCCCAGACAGCCAGGAUGUUGGCUUAGAAGCAGCCAUCAUUUAAAGAAAGCGUAAUAGCUCACUGGUCGAGUCGGCCUGCGCGGAAGAUGUAACGGGGCUAAACCAUGCACCGAAGCUGCGGCAGCGACGCUGAUGCGUUGUUGGGUAGGGGAGCGUUCUGUAAGCCUGCGAAGGUGUGCUGUGAGGCAUGCUGGAGGUAUCAGAAGUGCGAAUGCUGACAUAAGUAACGAUAAAGCGGGUGAAAAGCCCGCUCGCCGGAAGACCAAGGGUUCCUGUCCAACGUUAAUCGGGGCAGGGUGAGUCGACCCCUAAGGCGAGGCCGAAAGGCGUAGUCGAUGGGAAACAGGUUAAUAUUCCUGUACUUGGUGUUACUGCGAAGGGGGGACGGAGAAGGCUAUGUUGGCCGGGCGACGGUUGUCCCGGUUUAAGCGUGUAGGCUGGUUUUCCAGGCAAAUCCGGAAAAUCAAGGCUGAGGCGUGAUGACGAGGCACUACGGUGCUGAAGCAACAAAUGCCCUGCUUCCAGGAAAAGCCUCUAAGCAUCAGGUAACAUCAAAUCGUACCCCAAACCGACACAGGUGGUCAGGUAGAGAAUACCAAGGCGCUUGAGAGAACUCGGGUGAAGGAACUAGGCAAAAUGGUGCCGUAACUUCGGGAGAAGGCACGCUGAUAUGUAGGUGAAGUGAUUUACUCAUGGAGCUGAAAUCAGUCGAAGAUACCAGCUGGCUGCAACUGUUUAUUAAAAACACAGCACUGUGCAAACACGAAAGUGGACGUAUACGGUGUGACGCCUGCCCGGUGCCGGAAGGUUAAUUGAUGGGGUCAGCGCAAGCGAAGCUCUUGAUCGAAGCCCCGGUAAACGGCGGCCGUAACUAUAACGGUCCUAAGGUAGCGAAAUUCCUUGUCGGGUAAGUUCCGACCUGCACGAAUGGCGUAAUGAUGGCCAGGCUGUCUCCACCCGAGACUCAGUGAAAUUGAACUCGCUGUGAAGAUGCAGUGUACCCGCGGCAAGACGGAAAGACCCCGUGAACCUUUACUAUAGCUUGACACUGAACAUUGAGCCUUGAUGUGUAGGAUAGGUGGGAGGCUUUGAAGUGUGGACGCCAGUCUGCAUGGAGCCGACCUUGAAAUACCACCCUUUAAUGUUUGAUGUUCUAACGUGGACCCGUAAUCCGGGUUGCGGACAGUGUCUGGUGGGUAGUUUGACUGGGGCGGUCUCCUCCUAAAGAGUAACGGAGGAGCACGAAGGUUGGCUAAUCCUGGUCGGACAUCAGGAGGUUAGUGCAAUGGCAUAAGCCAGCUUGACUGCGAGCGUGACGGCGCGAGCAGGUGCGAAAGCAGGUCAUAGUGAUCCGGUGGUUCUGAAUGGAAGGGCCAUCGCUCAACGGAUAAAAGGUACUCCGGGGAUAACAGGCUGAUACCGCCCAAGAGUUCAUAUCGACGGCGGUGUUUGGCACCUCGAUGUCGGCUCAUCACAUCCUGGGGCUGAAGUAGGUCCCAAGGGUAUGGCUGUUCGCCAUUUAAAGUGGUACGCGAGCUGGGUUUAGAACGUCGUGAGACAGUUCGGUCCCUAUCUGCCGUGGGCGCUGGAGAACUGAGGGGGGCUGCUCCUAGUACGAGAGGACCGGAGUGGACGCAUCACUGGUGUUCGGGUUGUCAUGCCAAUGGCACUGCCCGGUAGCUAAAUGCGGAAGAGAUAAGUGCUGAAAGCAUCUAAGCACGAAACUUGCCCCGAGAUGAGUUCUCCCUGACUCCUUGA